GUAGGUGGCAAGCGUUGUCCGGAAUUAUUGGGCGUAAAGCGCGCGCAGGCGGUUCUUUAAGUCUGAUGUGAGAGCCCACGGCUCAACCGUGGAGGGUCAUUGGAAACUGGAGAACUUGAGUACAGAAGAGGAAAGCGGAAUUCCACGUGUAGCGGUGAAAUGCGUAGAGAUGUGGAGGAACACCAGUGGCGAAGGCGGCUUUCUGGUCUGUAACUGACGCUGAGGCGCGAAAGCGUGGGGAGCAAACAGGAUUAGAUACCCUGGUAGUCCACGCCGUAAACGAUGAGUGCUAAGUGUUAGGGGGGUUUCCGCCCCCCUUAGUGCUGCAGCUAACGCAUUAAGCACUCCGCCUGGGAGUACGGCCGCAAGGCUG
This 373-nucleotide ribosomal RNA is filed under the name uncultured organism. Its description in RNAcentral is "partial 16S ribosomal RNA". It matches the Rfam family "Bacterial small subunit ribosomal RNA", at positions 527 to 896 of the family's 1533-position model. The record is from RNAcentral.